CCUACGGGGGUCUGCAGUGAGGAAUAUUGGUCAAUGGACGAGAGUCUGAACCAGCCAAGUAGCGUGAAGGAUGACUGCCCUAUGGGUUGUAAACUUCUUUUAUAUUGGAAUAAAAUGUUCCACGUGUGGGAUUUUGUAUGUACCAUAUGAAUAAGGAUCGGCUAACUCCGUGCCAGCAGCCGCGGUAAUACGGAGGAUCCGAGCGUUAUCCGGAUUUAUUGGGUUUAAAGGGAGCGUAGGUGGAUUGUUAAGUCAGUUGUGAAAGUUUGCGGCUCAACCGUAAAAUUGCAGUUGAAACUGGCAGUCUUGAGUACAGUAGAGGUGGGCGGAAUGCGUGGUGUAGCGGUGAAAUGCUUAGAUAUCACGAAGAACUCCGAUUGCGAAGGCAGUUCACUGGACUGCAACUGACACUGAGGCUCGAAAGUGUGGGUAUCAAACAGGAUUAGAUACCCUAGUAGUC
This 460-nucleotide ribosomal RNA is filed under the name uncultured bacterium. Its description in RNAcentral is "partial 16S ribosomal RNA". It matches the Rfam family "Bacterial small subunit ribosomal RNA", at positions 338 to 795 of the family's 1533-position model. The record is from RNAcentral.